Molecule: long non-coding RNA, 2893 nt
Organism: Neofelis nebulosa (Clouded leopard)
Lineage: Eukaryota; Metazoa; Chordata; Mammalia; Carnivora; Felidae
Exons: 2
Source: RefSeq, a predicted model, not a curated record
CUCACACUCUGUCUCUCUCUCUGUCUCUCUUAAAAAAUAAUUAACAUAAAAAAUUAAAGUGCAUUGAUUUGGAAAAUCUUCAGGCUACUGGCUCAUGGGAGAAAUUCAGGAACCAGGGGUGCCUGGGUGGCUAAGUUGGUUGAGUGUCCGACUUGGGCUCAGGUCAUGAUCUUUUGGUUCCUGUGCUGACAGCUCAGAGCCUGGAACUUGCUUCAGAUUCCUCAUCUCUCUCUCUGCCCCUCCCCUCUCACACUCUGUCUCUUUAUAUAUAUCAAAAAUAAACAUUUAAAAAAAAAGAAAAAUUCAGGAACUGGUACUUGCCUGGUUCUAUGAGAUGUCUGCAAAUAGACCUUUUGCCCAACUGUAAAGCCUGUCUACCCAAAAAAAAAGACAAUACUGCCGCCUUUUUUUUUUAAAUUUUUUUUUUAAACAUUUAUUCAGUUUUGAGAGAGAGCAUGUGAGCUGGGGAGGGGCAGAGAGAGAAGGAGGCACAGAAUCUGAAGCAGGCUCCAGGCUCUGAGCUGUCAGGACAGAGCCCGACGUGGGGCUCAAACUCAUGAAUCAUAAGAUCAUGACCUGAGGUGAAGUCAGCCACUUAACUUACUGAGCCACCCAGGCGCCCUGAUAAUACUGCCUUCCAGGGACCCAUGGACAGUAGAUUUGAAGUUUCGGAAGUUUGGCUUGCUAGAUAGGAAAAUAACAACUGCCCCAGUAGUGUCGUCUGGAAUGGGAUUUGCUGAAUUCGUAUACUUCUUUAAAUAUGGUUACAUCAAAUUAUUGGUGGGCUCUUUGUGAACCCAGCUUAAACCCACUGUAUCUUAUCUUUUUGCAUUCAGAAAAGAAGCCUAAUUGUUUUCAAGCAUCCAGCCUUCUUCCGAAGAUCUUAUGUGGUUUGAGUGAUACCUUUGCCAGCUGCAUAGAUAGAUCUUGAUCAGUAACCGAAUCAGAGUAGCCCACACUUCUUGCCAGUUGGUUUAGAAAUCCUGACCUAUUGCGAUAUGUCGAAAGGACACCCAAGCCAAUAAACUCUGUCAAAUUGGCACAUGAAGGGGCUCCUACUCUGCAAAUCCAGCAGAAUUUGAGUAUCACAAAGAAUAACGUACCAGUGAAUCAAAAAAGAAUCCAAGUGCAUAGAGAUUCUCAGAGGAAAAACGGUGGACAAAGGUCCAGGGAAAGCUCUUUUCUACAGAAGCAUGCCAGCCAAAAAAUUUAGAAGGAAAGUGUGAGGAAACUCAUUUUGCAACCACCAUGUGUAAUAGUCGAUUCACCACUGGGUGCAAAGUUGCUGGCAAAAGGAACAUUCACGUGCUCUCAAAAUAGUGCCUCAGUUAAAAGGGGGAAAGGUACUUAUUUGUGGAUAAAUCUGAUGUACGCCACCUUAACAUGUCACAAUGAGCAUUACCAGUAGUGGGACGAUCUAAUAUUCCUCCUCAUGUCAUGGACAUCAUUGGAAGAACAUACUAUUUGUGGUAUUCUUGCCAAAAUGUUUACACUGAAUCUAAUCAUGACAAAAUAAGGCAAAUCUGGAUUAUGGCAUACUGUAUAAGACAACUUAAAAUCUUCAAAAAUCUUAAAAAAUAUAUCAAUGUCAUGAAAGCAAAUACAGAAAGAAAGCAAAUUGUUCUAAAGAAAACUAAGGAGGCAAAUGCAGUGAAUGAUCUGUGAUUGGAUCCUGGGCUUUAAAAAAAAAAAAGACUCUAAAAAGACAUAUUGGGGAUAAUUCGGUAAGUUUGAAUAGGGACUUCUAAUUAGACAUGGUUGCUUUAUCAAUGCUAACUUUCUUGGGUGACAUAGUGACCUUGUGGUUUUAUAGAAAAUUGCCCUUGUUUUCGGCUGAUAUUUGCUCAAGCACUGAAGGUUUAAAUGUUAUGAUAUCUACAACUUAUUUUUUAUUUAAAAAUUAGAAACAAAGCAAAUGUGGCAAAGCAGUGACAACAGCCAAAUCUAGGUGAAGGGUAUAUGGGUGAAUAUUGAACUUCACCUUUCUGCAGGCGUGAUUUUUUCAAAAUAAAGUGGGAAACAUGGAGAUUACAAAUCCUCAUCCACAGGACGAGUGAAAGGUAAAAGACAAUAUAUUACAUUUAUGAGUGCAGUUUAACACAGAACUUUCAUUAAUUGAUUUUAUAAAUGGGACAAAAUGCUAACCAGAGUCAUCUUUAAAACUGUAUAUAAAAUAGAAUAAUAAGACUUGUGCAAGAGACAUAGAAGCCUAGUGGAGAACUGGUUUUCUGCACUUGUUACCUCAAUAUAUUGGCCUUCCAAAAAAAUUAAAGAGUGAAGCUGGUUAGGAUCAACCUGUAAUGGCUUGCAGAGUCAGAAGGUGUCCCAAGAGUCAGUUUGUCAAUGUGUUCUGAAGGAAACCUGGGGCCCAGCCAAAGGCAAGCAAGGUCAUCCUCAGACAGAAACAUUUCUAAAGAAGGGUACAAAGUAAUCCUCUGGAACCAAACUACAAAAGGCACGGUGAAGUACCAGGAGGAUGGUGUUCCGUGUGGAGCAUAAGGAAAUUACCUUAAUUUUGUAUUAUCUGCUUUCUAUCAAAAGCGAUUUAAGGAGAUUGCUUGUAAUCUAAAUAGGGAAAAUGGAGAGUCAAUGCUUUUGUCAAGGUUAAUGCAGGACUUCUCAAUGUAAACGGUCAUUGCAUCUGGUGGAUGCUUUUCCGUACCCAGAAUGACAGACUAGUGCUUUGGGCUUUUCCCUCACUCUCAUGAAAAGUCUCUAAGACCAUGCAAUUUUCACCCUGGAUUCUGAUGCAGAACCCAACAACCUUUUGGUUAGCGAUUCAGUUUCCCAUUGACUUAAUGCUGGGAAAGAAGAAAUCCUAGAGAAUGGAAAUAUAUAAUCUACUCUCAAAGAAAGGGAUAUUCCACAUUGAAAUAAAUACAUUAACAUUCGG